UCCGACGUGGUGUAGUGGCUAACAUUAUCGCCUCUCAUGUUAUCAGGAAGUGUGACUAAAGCGCGAUAGCCCGGGGUUCGAUUCCCCGCGUCGGAA
Lentinula aff. lateritia is the source of this 96-nucleotide non-coding RNA. NCBI's taxonomy places the organism in Eukaryota, Fungi, Basidiomycota, Agaricomycetes, Agaricales, Omphalotaceae. The record is from the annotation of a GenBank genome assembly.